CCGGCCUCCAGCCAGAGCCCUGCUGAGAUGCCGCUGGAGAAGCGGAUCAGAAGGCACGGCCAGGACUCGUUCACACCACCCGCAAGUUCUUCCUUUGCCAUCUCGAAGUUAUAUUCCAGAUCCGCGCCCUUCUCCGUCUCCAGCACUGCCAGUCUGGACCCAGCCGAGCUCCCCGCUGCCCCAUCCACCACAGCCUCUAGCUAUAGUCUCCCUGUUUCCUAUUGUCCCGGCUCUGAUGUACUCUCCGUGUGACCCUGGAUCCGGAAGCUGAGGCCGGAGAGAUGAAGUCACGCAGCCAGUGAGGGGCCCAGAGGAGAUCUGACUUCAUCUCUUCAUAAUUUCCACAUCAGCUCUGUGCUGGAGCGAAAGAACACACCCACGUGGGAAUGACUUCACGCUCCAGAAAGAACGCUACAAAUUGGUUGAGAGGCGUAGAAGAGGAAUUUUCCUCCUAAAGGCUGCAGGAAUCCACUGGCGGGAUAGAAACGUGAUUAGAAGACGGAGCUGUGACUCAUACACAUUUCUGCUGGGAUGAGUAAAAAUACCGGGAGCGAAAGAUGGAUUAGUCACUGGAAUACAGUUUGCUUUUGAGAACUGAGUCGCCCACAGCUGCCCUUGGUCAUUAGGUUCUGAAAUU
This 637-nucleotide long non-coding RNA is filed under the name Equus asinus (donkey). RNAcentral's name for it is "lncRNA (ENSEASG00005025562.1)". Lineage: Eukaryota; Metazoa; Chordata; Mammalia; Perissodactyla; Equidae. The record is from RNAcentral.